UCGCCUGCUGGUCAACGGCCGCGCGGCGCCGCUGGCGCCGACCGGACAGCUGGGCGAGGCGGUGGCCGGGGUCCGGUUCCGGGCCUGGCAGGCGGC
This 96-nucleotide transfer RNA is filed under the name Allostella sp. ATCC 35155. RNAcentral describes it as "Stella sp. ATCC 35155 tRNA-Ala". Lineage: Bacteria; Pseudomonadati; Pseudomonadota; Alphaproteobacteria; Rhodospirillales; Allostellaceae. The record is from RNAcentral.